GCCGGCAGCUAGCUCUCUGCAACUCUCACAUGGUUGCCCACUGAGCUAAGCAGGACUGUGCCCGCUUAGUACCUGGAUGGGAGACCACAUGGGAAAGCUAGGUUGCUGCCGGAA
RNAcentral lists this ribosomal RNA (114 nucleotides) under Danio rerio (zebrafish). Lineage: Eukaryota; Metazoa; Chordata; Actinopteri; Cypriniformes; Danionidae. The record is from RNAcentral.